UAAGGUAUGCUAGUCGAACGACCAGAACUAUGUCUGGGAGUGGCACACUGCUCAGUAACACGUAGCUAACCUACCCUUAGGACGUGGAUACCCCCGAGAAAUUGGGGUUAAUCCGCGAUAGAUGUAAUGUCCUGGAAUGGUAUUACGUCUAAAGGUAUUUCAUACAUGUUUGAAAUAUGCCUAAGGAUGGGGCUGCGGCCGAUCAGGCUGUUGGUGAGGUAAUGGCUCACCAAACCUUUGACCGGUACGGGCCAUGAGAGUGGUAGCCCGGAGAUGGACACUGAGACAAGGGUCCAGGCCCUAAGGGGCGCAGCAACCGCGAAACCUCCACAAUGCACUCACGUGCGAUGGGGCUAUCUCGAGUGCCACCUGAUGAAGGUGGCUUUUCCUUGGUCUUCAAAGCCUUGGGAAUAAGAGGGGGGCAAGACUGGUGUCAGCCGCCGCGGUAACACCAGCCCCUCGAGUGGUGGGGAUGAUUAUUUGGCCUAAAGCGUCCGUAGCCGGCCGUGAAAGUCUUCCGUUAAAUCCAGCGUCUCAAGCGUUGGACCGCGGGAGAUACUACAUGGCUAGAGAGUGGGGGAGGUCAGCGGUAUUCUGGGGGUAGGGGCGAAAUCCUUUGAUCCCCGGAGGACCACCAGUGGCGAAGGCUGCUGACUAGAACACGUCUGACGGUCAGGGACGAAAGCUGGGGUAGCGAACCGGAUUAGAUACCCGGGUAGUCCCAGCCGUAAACGAUGCAUGCUAGGUGUUGGGUUGGCCACGAGCCACCCCAGUGCCGCAGGGAAGCCGUUAAGCAUGCCGCCUGGGAAGUACGAUCGCAAGAUUGAAACUUAAAGGAAUUGGCGGGGGAGCACCACCAGGCGUGAAGCCUGCGGUUUAAUUGGAUUCAACGCCGGG
RNAcentral lists this ribosomal RNA (897 nucleotides) under uncultured archaeon. RNAcentral's name for it is "bacterial SSU rRNA". It matches the Rfam family "Archaeal small subunit ribosomal RNA", at positions 45 to 922 of the family's 1478-position model. The record is from RNAcentral.